AAAGGUCCUCAAUAGGUGAGACUUCGCUUCCCAUACGAUUAAGAUAUUCUGAUGCUUGACUCACUGAAAAGUGAGAAAUCAGGGUUUCUUUAUGGGUUAGCUCCCGCUUCUUAGUUGUCGAGAUCUUUAGCCCAUGUAGUUUGGAUCAACAGGUGCUAAGGUCCUUUUAGGUUAGCCCCUCUCUGAAGGUCCUCAAUGGGUGAGUGUUCGCUUCUUGCUCAACUAAGGUCUUCUGAUGCUCAACUUACUGAAAAAUGAGGAGUCAGGGGUCCUCUAUAGGUUAGCCUUCGUUUCUUAGUCGCUGAGGUCUUCAACCCAUGAAGCU
RNAcentral lists this long non-coding RNA (325 nucleotides) under Elaeis guineensis (African oil palm). RNAcentral describes it as "long non-coding RNA (EGUI_LNC024042)". The record is from RNAcentral. Lineage: Eukaryota; Viridiplantae; Streptophyta; Magnoliopsida; Arecales; Arecaceae.